RNAcentral lists this ribosomal RNA (228 nucleotides) under uncultured bacterium. Its description in RNAcentral is "partial 16S ribosomal RNA". It matches the Rfam family "Bacterial small subunit ribosomal RNA", at positions 15 to 231 of the family's 1533-position model. The record is from RNAcentral.
GAUCAUGGCUCAGGAUGAACGCUANCUACAGGCUUAACACAUGCAAGUCGAGGGGCAGCAUGGUCUUAGCUUGCUAAGGCCGAUGGCGACCGGCGCACGGGUGAGUAACACGUAUCCAACCUGCCGUCUACUCUUGGACAGCCUUCUGAAAAGGAAGAUUAAUACAAGAUGGCAUCAUGAGUUUCACAAUGUUCACAUGAUUAAAGGUAUUCCGGUAGACGAUGGGGA